ACAUGCUGAGGAGUUCUAUACUAGGACGAAACGGCCGUCCAAUAU
RNAcentral lists this non-coding RNA (45 nucleotides) under Schistosoma mansoni. The record is from RNAcentral. Lineage: Eukaryota; Metazoa; Platyhelminthes; Trematoda; Strigeidida; Schistosomatidae.